UACGUAGGGUGCGAGCGUUGUCCGGAAUUACUGGGCGUAAAGAGCUCGUAGGUGGUUUGUCGCGUUGUUCGUGAAAUCUCACGGCUUAACUGUGAGCGUGCGGGCGAUACGGGCAGACUAGAGUACUGCAGGGGAGACUGGAAUUCCUGGUGUAGCGGUGGAAUGCGCAGAUAUCAGGAGGAACACCGAUGGCGAAGGCGGUUCUCUGGGCCUGUACUGACGCUGAGGAGCGAAAGCGUGGGGAGCGAACAGG
This 253-nucleotide ribosomal RNA is filed under the name uncultured bacterium. RNAcentral describes it as "partial 16S ribosomal RNA". It matches the Rfam family "Bacterial small subunit ribosomal RNA", at positions 524 to 776 of the family's 1533-position model. The record is from RNAcentral.